Potamilus streckersoni is the source of this 75-nucleotide non-coding RNA. Lineage: Eukaryota; Metazoa; Mollusca; Bivalvia; Unionida; Unionidae. The record is from the annotation of a GenBank genome assembly.
GCUCCGGUGGUCUAGUGGUUAGGGCGUCCGCCUAGGAUGCAGAAGGUCGUGGGGGUUCAAACCCCGGCCGAGUCA